Molecule: transfer RNA, 75 nt
Filed under: Candidatus Gottesmanbacteria bacterium RBG_13_45_10
Lineage: Bacteria; Candidatus Gottesmaniibacteriota
Description: tRNA-Val
Rfam family: tRNA
About the family: Transfer RNA (tRNA) molecules are approximately 80 nucleotides in length.
Source: RNAcentral
GGACACGUAGCUCAGCGGUAGAGCGCUGCAUUCACAUUGCAGAUGUCGGGGGUUCAAAUCCCUCCGUGUCCACUA